AAGUCGAACGGAAAGGCCCUUCGGGGUACUCGAGUGGCGAACGGGUGAGUAACACGUGGGUGAUCUGCCCUGCACUUUGGGAUAAGCCUGGGAAACUGGGUCUAAUACCGAAUAGGACCACGCGCUUCAUGGUGUGUGGUGGAAAGCUUUUGCGGUGUGGGAUGGGCCCGCGGCCUAUCAGCUUGUUGGUGGGGUAAUGGCCUACCAAGGCGACGACGGGUAGCCGGCCUGAGAGGGUGACCGGCCACACUGGGACUGAGAUACGGCCCAGACUCCUACGGGAGGCAGCAGUGGGGAAUAUUGCACAAUGGGCGCAAGCCUGAUGCAGCGACGCCGCGUGAGGGAUGACGGCCUUCGGGUUGUAAACCUCUUUCAAUAGGGACGAAGCGCGAGUGACGGUACCUAUAGAAGAAGCACCGGCCAACUACGUGCCAGCAGCCGCGGUAAUACGUAGGGUGCGAGCGUUGUCCGGAAUUACUGGGCGUAAAGAGCUCGUAGGUGGUUUGUCGCGUUGUUCGUGAAAACUCACAGCUUAACUGUGGGCGUGCGGGCGAUACGGGCAGACUAGAGUACUGCAGGGGAGACUGGAAUUCCUGGUGUAGCGGUGGAAUGCGCAGAUAUCAGGAGGAACACCGGUGGCGAAGGCGGGUCUCUGGGCAGUAACUGACGCUGAGGAGCGAAAGCGUGGGGAGCGAACAGGAUUAGAUACCCUGGUAGUCCACGCCGUAAACGGUGGGUACUAGGUGUGGGUUCCUUCCUUGGGAUCCGUGCCGUAGCUAACGCAUUAAGUACCCCGCCUGGGGAGUACGGCCGCAAGGCUAAAACUCAAAGGAAUUGACGGGGGCCCGCACAAGCGGCGGAGCAUGUGGAUUAAUUCGAUGCAACGCGAAGAACCUUACCUGGGUUUGACAUGCACAG
RNAcentral lists this ribosomal RNA (918 nucleotides) under Mycobacterium sp. Its description in RNAcentral is "bacterial SSU rRNA". It matches the Rfam family "Bacterial small subunit ribosomal RNA", at positions 59 to 993 of the family's 1533-position model. The record is from RNAcentral. Lineage: Bacteria; Bacillati; Actinomycetota; Actinomycetes; Mycobacteriales; Mycobacteriaceae.